GGGAAUAUUGGACAAUGGGGGCAACCCUGAUCCAGCCAUGCCGCGUGAGUGAAGAAGGCCCUCGGGUUGUAAAGCUCUUUUGUCCGGAAAGAAAAGCUUCGGGUUAAUACCCCGGGGUUCUGACGGUACCGGAAGAAUAAGAACCGGCUAACUUCGUGCCAGCAGCCGCGGUAAUACGUAGGGUGCAAGCGUUAAUCGGAAUUACUGGGCGUAAAGCGUGCGCAGGCGGUUUUGUAAGACAGAGGUGAAAUCCCCGGGCUCAACCUGGGAACUGCCUUUGUGACUGCAAAGCUGGAGUGCGGCAGAGGGGGAUGGAAUUCCGCGUGUAGCAGUGAAAUUCGUAGAUAUGCGGAGGAACACCGAUGGCGAAGGCAAUCCCCUGGGCCUGCACUGACGCUCAUGCACGAAAGCGUGGGGAGCAAACA
This 425-nucleotide ribosomal RNA is filed under the name uncultured bacterium. RNAcentral describes it as "bacterial SSU rRNA". It matches the Rfam family "Bacterial small subunit ribosomal RNA", at positions 357 to 774 of the family's 1533-position model. The record is from RNAcentral.